Molecule: non-coding RNA, 6194 nt
Organism: Podarcis lilfordi (Lilford's wall lizard)
Lineage: Eukaryota; Metazoa; Chordata; Lepidosauria; Squamata; Lacertidae
Source: the annotation of a GenBank genome assembly
UCCUGGUAAGUGGACAUAUUUAAAUGCCUAUUAGAGAGGAUCCUAAAUAAAUAUCUUGCAUAGGAAACAUACCAGCCUCAUUUCUUUUCCAAUGCAUGACAGGGAUACAACAGAAAAUUUGUUUACUGUAGCAAUUUGUUAAUCAAUGUAUUCAUAAGACCAUUAACUAACUAACUAACUAACUAUAUCUAUCUGAAAAUACAAAUUCUACUUCAUAUGAUGGUUGUGUUUAUUGAAUUUCUGUAUCAGGCGCCCUCAGAAGAGAGUCAAGUGUGAAAUUAUUCUUCUGAAUUUUGCCAAUGGGUGGGUAAUGAUGACUAAUGGAAGAUGUAAAGCGAAGCAUGAUUUAUUCAUGCACUGUGUCUCAAAACUGAAUUAUCUUUCCUCCAGUUGUUUCCUCAGAAAAUGCUAAGAAUAAGGUAACUUUCACGACAUCACACAUUUAGCUAAUUUCAAUAUGUGGGAGGGAUUUGUGCCUCCUAUGUGACCCUCUCCUGAUAGAGGUUGUCCAUCAGGGCCACCAAGACAGAUUUAAUCCUGCACACGCUGAACCCACACAGUCACACAGAGAGAGAGAGAGUUUGCUUGCGUCUGCUUCUGUAUUAGUGAUCUAAUAGACUCCAUUCACUUUUGGAGUGAAAUAAAGCAGCUGUAUUUGAGGAACUUCUCAAGGAGGAAACAAGGUAAGGCAUGAGGACUGUAUACCACCACCACCACCACCACCACCCAAGAUGCAGAGAGGGGGGGCAAUAAGCUAAUGUUCACCAAGGGCAGCAAUACAACUUGACAUGGCUCCAAUUGGACAAACUGGAAGCUGCCCAUCCAGUGGUAACUAGUGACUUGAGCCAUAGUUUGUUCCUAAUAUAUAACUAGUAGAAACAAUAGCUUUAGUUUAACUGAUGGUACUAAUGAUAGAAGACCUCUUCGACUGGUUACUUCAUCAAGCCACUUUCCUCAGUUUUCCCACAGUUAUUUCAGGUAGCAGCUGUCUGCAAUCAAAGCAUUUGGCUAAUGUUCUUAUUUUUGAAAUAUUGCCAAACAGCUUAAAGACAUCUAUUUGUCAAUAUUAACAGGAUGAAAGAAAUGCAAACUGCCCCUAUUAUGCAUAAUAUAUACAGACAGAAUGCUAAUAAAUCCUGCAAAUUGCAGGGGAUAUUGGGUAAGAUCCAGCCACAGCAAAGCCCAUUUAUUUUAGCAGUACAAAGUUGCAAAUACAUGCUUAAGGAAGGCUGCAUUUCUGUCCAUAUUUGGGAUCUCAGUGAGAUUCCUGAAUAAACAUACAUAGGACUGGGCUAAAUGUCUCUCCCACUAGGAUGGUGACUUUUAAAAUGUUUAACAUUUGAAAGGAUCAUGUCCAUUCUCUUUGGCUUUUUCCAUUCUACAUCCCAAGCUGCUCUAAAGUUUUAUUUUUGGAAUGGCUUUUAAGCAACAUUUUCUUUUAAAGGUCUGUGAAAAAACAUGGUGUGCUUUUUAGCAAAUCAAAGCAGGUUAAUUUGCUCAUAAAAUACUAAUGGCCUCCUAUGGAAAACAACAGCAUACAGCUCUUUGGGAUAUGUCUGCCCAACCAUACAAGUUUUCUAUUGUUUUCGGUAGCAGUAAAGGUCAUAUUCUGAGAGAGUUGCUCUCCCCCCUGCAGCUUAUGAUUUCAGCUAAAAUAAAAGAUGAAGCAAGGAAAGGAGGACAGCACCGAAACAGAAGAGAAGCAAAAGAAGAGGUGGGGCCUUAAAGCUUUGCUAAGAUAUCAGGGUCCUAUCCAAUGCUACUGUUCCACUAGCACACAGCAAAGCUAGUGCCAAAUGUAUUGCUCUUUUUUUCCUUUGGACCACAUAGUGAGGCCUAGAGGGGUUCUUUUUGUCUGGGAAGCCCAGGACCUCCAUACACACUGCCUAGACUUGAGCCCUGGGGAGGUCACUUUGGUGCUGCUAAUGCAGCAGUUUUAAUUUAUUCCCGGAGGCACACUCCAUUGUCUCUCAAGACAGAUGAAUGCCAACCACAGCAGCAACAAAUCUUAUGAAGACUGACAGUUGCAUCCAAUGCCACGCACACCAAGUUCCACUUGUGCAACAGAACUUCCCCUUCCUCUCCUCUCCACAUGCCUGCAAUAUCUGUUCUGGAGGCUCCUCCAACCCUCUGGAGCAGAUUUUGAGGGCGUGAGAGGGGCUGCAGGGGAGAAGAGGAGGGGAUACUUUCAGUCUGCAAGUGGAUGUCUGCUGUGUGCUAGAAGGAACAUGACGUAUGUCAUUGCCCCCCCCCCCCGGGUACUACCACUCCCCUAAUACCCAAAAUACAGUUCUGGUAAAAUACUAAAAAAUGUAAAGUGUUUUUCAUUGAUGUCAAAACUUUAUUGCCUAUUUUUGACAAGUGCUCCUGAAGAAGCUUGUUUUGAACCAUAGCACCCUGGGCUUUUACAAUAACUUUUUAAACCAAAACUAAGGGCCAUUUCACACAUUUUGCAUGGCAGGGCUAGUCUGAUACCUUGGUGCUUCUACCUGUACUGUGGACUUGUUUGUCAGUAGCAGGCAGUGGGGUGGGGUAGCAGUGCAACCUCUGAUUGACUACAUCGUUGCUGUAUACAAGGAUGGAUAAAGAGAAGGGCGAGGUGGCAGCAAGCUCAGCACAGUGAGAAUGUUCUGGCGACGCCAAACCAUCAUUCCCACAAGUCUGUUUGCUCCAUGCUGGCCUUACCCUUCCCUCCAGGUGUUUAGGAGCAACAUGGGUGACUAGAGGUCAGGUGAGCAUCACUGCUGUGCUCCACUGUUGCUUGUUUCCUUCAUGUUUUGCAUAUUGAUGAGCAAAUUUAAAUGUAGGUUCUAAUCAAAUACACGGAACGUUUGGCUGGUACACAUGUAGCCAGCAUCUUUAGAAUGCUAAAAUCCUGUUGAUUGUGGUGUGAAAGGAGACAUUUGUAUGCAUGGAUUGUACCUGGCUCUACUCCUGAAGAGCCAAUCAAUAGAAUUUUAGAUUUUUAAGAAGGGGCUGCUGAAUUAGGGAGAGAAAGCUGGUCGUGCAACACCCAGUUGUAUAUCCCUCAUUCAGCAAAGGCAGGGAUGGAGAUCCUAUAGACCCUCUCGAGAUUUGUUGGGUUCCAGUUCCCAGCAGCCUCAGCUAGCAUAGCCAGUGAUCAGCAAUGGCGGGAGUUGAAGUCCCAUGACAUCUGCAGGGCCACAAGUCCCCUAUCCCUGACCUAGAGACAUAUAUGCAAAAGUCUGCUUUCUCACACAGGUACCUGGGUGGAAAUGUGCCAAUAAGCUGAAACAAACUCAGGGCUACUUGUCCGACUCCACUUUUUACCUGCCAGUGUUUCAUCCUCCUAUCCCUUCGGAGUAGUUGCAGUUCAGUGAUUCUGUGGUUUUCUUCUUUCAUUUUCAUUUUCUUUUGCGCAGGAAAGUCAGGCACAGCAAUUUAUUAACAAUAUGUGAUAUUGACAAGAAAGCCAAAUCAUCCUCUAGGUGAGUGCUUGUGAUUGAUGUGUAACUUUAAAAAUUGAAUUUGGUAUUGCAACUCACCCAGGUCAAUUUGUUUAAUUGUAUUAGAAGAUCAUAAACCAGACAGACAGCAAACUGUUUUAGCUCUUGCAGUGUGGUGUGUGGCCAUAACUUAAAAACGAUAAGUGACUUAUUGAGGUACAUAAUUGAAUCCUGAGGAAUCUCAUGCAUCAUGCCCACUCCACUGCCACACAGUCUUCUAGUGAUCUGUAAUACCUGUUCUGUUGGAUGGAAUAUGGUUCAGUGAGCUUGAAGAUGAAGAAGAAAUAAAAAUAAAAGGUGCAGAUGUAGACGAAAAAGAGAAAAUUGGCUUAGAUCUGCAGCUAGAGUUUGCACACACACACACCUGCUCUUUUUAUCCUUUCAGAUAAAAUAGAAUCCAAACAACAUUAUACGAGAGGAAAAGAAAAAGAGGAUAAGCAAUCUAAAGCUACAAGGUCCAAUUCUAAAUGUCUACCUCAGCUAAAAUCUUAAUUGAUUUCUGUUGGACCUUUGUCACGCAGAGCCUAUUAAGUCAAGAGUACUUGGAUUUAGUCUUACUGAGAAAUAAUCUUUAUCCAAUGGAAUAAGAAAGCGCAAGCAAACCUAUUUAUUCACUGUUGAAUGAGCUACCCUUGGGGACUUCCGGGGUGGCGCCAUCGGCAAUGGUGGAUUCCCUCUGAACUGGAGGGACCAGCUCCACGGGAAUCGGGUCUUUUCCACCACGGCGAAGCGGGGACCCAUUCAAAAAUCACAGGCAGAUGAAGCCUGUGACCAUGGGACUCGGCGGGCACCCUUAGCACCCCCCCAACCCGCAAAAGAACCCAUUAAUGGGCUCCAGAGCGAAGAGGGGGAAGUGGCGCGGUGCUGAGAGUCAACUGCUUCUUCCGUGGAGCGAAGCCGCACAGCCGUUGCCGGAGAGCGCUGCCUUUUUCCUGGGACAAUCUGGCUUUUAAAAUAAUCACCCGUGAGUACCUAAACUCGGACAAUUGGACUCUAAAUAAGGACUUGUGAGCAGAAAGGAAAAUUGGACUUAAAAGUUUACCUUAAUUUGGUGCUGAAACGGGAAGGUCUAAACAGGAAGUCAGCCUUCCGUUUCUUUGUAGCUAGAUUAAAGCAAAGACAUGGCAAACUAGAGCUCAGAAAAUUGCCUGUAAAAGAUUAACUUUCAUCAUUUAAAAUUGUUGAACCCCCUUCGGAAGCAGGAGAAGAGGGGGGAUUUUUUCAGACUGUUUAAACCUGCAGAAGUGAGGGUAAAGUAAAGUAACUUUCCACCGUCCUGAUCCUGGAGCGGGGUGUUAGGACUGACGUUUUUUGAAGCUCAUUGACCAGAGACAACGUUUUUGACAGAUAGCUAUAAGAAGAGAAACUUUGACUCCAUUGUUCCCCUUUGCUUCUUAAAGGAACAAAUAUUGACAAAAUAUCUGAAAAAGGAAACUUUGUCGCUAGACUUGUCUUUAAAAGAAAGAACAAAUAGAAGUUUUUCCCCUAGUGGGAGACUGUGAAACUGUAACCAACUGUAGCCAACUCCGGGGAGCUGGCAGCUGUUACAGAUUACAAUCGUGGGAAUAGACAUCUGACCUUGCAGGACAAUGUAUUCAGAAGCUCUGUUGUGUGCUUUCUAUAAAACAAAUGCCCUACUGGAACAGCUACAUGAGAAGACAAAUUUGAUGGCUGAUUCGAUUAGAAAUUUUGAACAGGCAGUGGGAAAUUUUGAACAGGCAGUGGGAAAAUAUGUGGAGCCCACCCAGGAAUUAAAUCAGGAGUGUGCCUUGACAGAACAGGCCCAACAGGAACAUAAGCUUUCGGAUUUGACAAAUGAACUUGGAAAAAGCCAGAUUUGGAAAGAAAAAGUUUGGUUUGGUCUGGAAAUGGGGGGCUGGAUAGACCCCCCUAUGCAGGGAUGUUUGGACUUUCCAAGGCUGGCAAUGGGCCGUGAGAUGUUUGGGAUUGUGGGGGCUCUUAAUUUUGGAGGGAUUCUGAAACACGUUUUUAAAUACCACAUGGAGUUUAGUUUGGACUAUGGAAAAGGGGCUGAUCUGUUGAAAAGGGUCAAAAACAUUGUUAAGCUGGAGCUCCCACGAGUGAAACUAGCAGGAGACAAGGGAAAAUACAGUUACAAAUAUGAAGAAGAGCUGUGGAAGGGACAUGGAAGAGACUUAAGGGCCUUGGAUAUAAGGUUACCAGGUUAAUGCGCUAGAUCGAUGGGAAAAUAAGGACUGACAAAACCCGGGACCAGGAGGAAGGGACGCUGGAUGAAGAUUGGUUUCUAUUUCUAUUUCUACUACUAGGAUUGUUUUAUAAAAUUGAUGAAUGUUAGAAAAAUGUUGGAAUGAAAUUACUUGGCUUUAGUAAAAAUGUUUAAAGAAUUAUGUAAGAAUAUUAUGGUUAUGAGAAGUUGGUAAAAAUAAGAUUUAAGUUUUAAGUUUCAAGGUUUUUAUAGUAAGAUAAGAUUAAAAUAGUUUAAGGUAAUGUAAUGACAGAAUUUUAUGAAAUAUGGAAAGGAUUUGCUGCAACAAUUAACAACUAGGAUACAAAAAAGGGAGGAGGAGGAGGUCAAAGAAAGAAGGUAAUGACAGUUGAGGAUUUGAGAAUAAUGGAUUUGUUUUUAAAAGUUUGUGGUGUAUUUUUGUUUUUUUGAAUUAUUAUUUUUUGUAUUGUUGGAUGUGGUUUGUGUUUUUCUUUGUUCUUUCUUUGUUCUUUUUCUACUUUGUUUUCUUUUGUAACUCU